RNAcentral lists this microRNA (24 nucleotides) under Glycine max (soybean). RNAcentral's name for it is "gma-miR4352a". Lineage: Eukaryota; Viridiplantae; Streptophyta; Magnoliopsida; Fabales; Fabaceae. The record is from miRBase by way of RNAcentral.
AUUUCUAGGACAUACUACGACGGU